Daphnia pulicaria is the source of this 2000-nucleotide long non-coding RNA. RefSeq lists it as uncharacterized. The record is from RefSeq and is a predicted model, not a curated record. The transcript is spliced from 3 exons. NCBI's taxonomy places the organism in Eukaryota, Metazoa, Arthropoda, Branchiopoda, Diplostraca, Daphniidae.
CUGCUAAAUAUUGGUAAACAUUCUCUUUGAAUGAGGUUUGCAAUGUUGAAAUCAUGUCGUUGCUUUCAAUUGCUACCUUGAUUAUUCAAAGAAAAAAGCCGACCGCACCGCAAUAUCGCAAGGUUGAUUCACCAUAGUAAGCCAUAAAAGAUACAUAUGUUAUCUUAUCGCUUAUCAGCAAGAAUCAUAGACCUAUUACAACUACAAGUGAAGAAUACAGGCAAGGCAGAAUCCUAAAUUUUCUGUUGAUGUAAAUUAUAUUCUAACAAAGUAAAAAAAAAAAUUGUAUAGAGCAAUGGAUAACCAACCUAGUAUUGUUGAAGCAGAUGCUGUUCAUCAUAGGUUGAGUAAUCAAGUCAAUACAGUCAAAGAUUUUCCCUAUAGAUGCUAUGACUGCCCACAGUUAUUUACUAGAUUGGAAGACUUGGCUCAGCAUUCCAUUAAAAACCCAACCCACAGUGAAGAAAUGUGUUUAAAGUGCAAGAAAUCCAUUGUUGUAUUCUUUACAUCUAAAUGUGCAGUGAGAAUUCACUCUUGUAACAAAUCUGAUGUUUGUCACAAUCAUUCAGAUCUUCACUUUCACAGUCAGUUCCUUUUUACCAAAUUAAAUUCAUCAGGUUUGAUUCCUGAUUACACUGUUAUAGGAUGUGACCUUCAGAGCUGUGAAGCUAGUUUUGAUUUUUCAGCCAAUGGUAUCUUUAAGUAUUUGAAACACGUCAACAGAUACAAGCACACAACUGUUCCUGAUUGCAGAAAAUGUGCGUUACCAGAAUUCCAAUUAAGUGUCGGAGGAGAGAAGACCAUUUCCCACUAUUGUGUGAAAACUGGAAAAAUUAUCUGUGUUGUGAAACCUGUAUUGUCAGUUUCUAGUCGUUAGAAAUCGUUCUUUUUUGCGCCUGUUUAUCAUGAAAUGUUUUUUCUUUUAUGUUUAACUACUUCCCUAUCCUCCUUAUUAACAAAAAAACCCGCGAUUUACAUGUCUACAAAUUGACACACCCAGAUGUUUUUGUGAUGUUUGGCAACAAUGUUUAGUCGUUAAGGAAAUUUCUAAUGUUUAUCAACAAAAAAUUCGGGACACACGGGAAAAAAAGAAUACAGAUAAAAACAUUGACCUCUAUUCAUAUAUGGCUUGCUGAAUUAUACAUAUGUACUGUUAAGCUGUAUGGUUUGACUGAACACGCCCGUGUUCAGUUUUCCUCUGAAUUUUUUCAAGUCUUUGCUGGACUUUGGAAGAAUAUAGAUGGAUGAGUAUUCAGGCGGAAUUGAAGAAACAGAUGCAGUUCAUCAUCGAUUGGCUGGAGAGUCCCCAGCUAUAGAGAAGAAUUACCAAUGCUACAACUGUAAUCAGUCAUUCUGUUCCUUGGUAGACCUUGGCAACCACUCCCAAAACUUACCUUGGCACAGUGUGGAGAUUUGUUUAAAUUGUACGGAUCCCAUCACAGUGUUUGUACAGAAAUUUCCAUUUAAAGUUGUCCGCCUUCACACAUGCAAGAGGUCCCAUCUUCGCUACCAAAACUCAGACCUUCACCUUCUUUCUAUUCAGAUUUCUAAAAUUCUUUGCUGGAAUGAGAAAACACAGCAUCAGUCUGUGAUUUUUUGUGAUACCUGUAAUGAGUUGUUUUCUCAGACCCCAUUGGGUCUUUUUGAGUUUUUAGUUCAUUCCAAUUUAACUGCACACAAUGUGAUUCCAUCAAGCCACUGUAAGAAAUGUACCAUGCCUGAAUUCAAACUGACUGGUAGCAAUUUAGAAUGUUGUAUUGCCCAUUUUUGCACCAAAGAUUCCAAUUCAAUUCUCAAGGAACUUCAAAAGAAUGUUCAAAAGAUUGAAAAACACAGUCAGACUAAAAAAUAGUCUAUCCCACAUAUAUUACUAUUUCUUGGGUUGAAUAAUAUUCCUAAUAUACAUUAUAAAAUGUCUAAUUAUUAUAAUUAUGCAAACUUGUUGACAGCAAAUAAAGACCAUGGGACCUAGGAGAGAGGAACAUUUUUGUAAUAUUCAA